GAUGAAGAACGUAGAGAAAUGCGAUAAGUAAUGUGAAUUGCAGAAUUCAGUGAAUCAUCGAAUCUUUGAACGCACCUUGCGCUCUUUGGUAUUCCGAAGAGCAUGCCUGUUUGAGUGUCAUGAAAAUAUCAACCUUGACUUGGGUUUUGUGCUCUAGUCUCGGCUUGGAAUUGGGUGCUUGCCGCUUUUACGAGCGGCUCACCUUAAAUGUAUUAGCUGGAUCUGUCUUUGAGACUUGGUUUGACUUGGCGUAAUAAGUAUUUCGCUAAGGACAUUCUUCGGAGUGGCCUCGUUUCUAGGACGCUUGUCCGCUUUCCAAUACAAGUUCCACCUCGUGGACAUGACUUUUUAUUAUCUGGCCUCAAAUCAGGUAGGACUACCCGCUGAACUUAAGCAUAUCAAUAAGCGGAGGA
RNAcentral lists this unclassified non-coding RNA (413 nucleotides) under soil metagenome. Its description in RNAcentral is "partial contains 5.8S ribosomal RNA, internal transcribed spacer 2, and large subunit ribosomal RNA". The stretch from base 1 to 120 matches the Rfam family "5.8S ribosomal RNA", at positions 35 to 154 of the family's 154-position model. The record is from RNAcentral.